This 3927-nucleotide long non-coding RNA is filed under the name Ananas comosus (pineapple). RNAcentral describes it as "long non-coding RNA (ACOM_LNC024340)". The record is from RNAcentral. Lineage: Eukaryota; Viridiplantae; Streptophyta; Magnoliopsida; Poales; Bromeliaceae.
CCGGUAAAGUUGCGGUGUAAUGUAAUAUACCGGAUUUAAAUAUAAAAAUAAAAAUAAAUAAAAAUAGUAUGAGAUACUAUUUUUAUUGGAUUUGGAGAAGUAAAAUAUGAGUUAGAAAUGACUUGUGCUGAAAUUGGAAUGAAAACAGAAGAUUUAGAAUUUUCUGUGAGAGACGGGGCAGAUAAAUUAGCAGAAAAUGCACAGUCUCAGAAAAUUAUGAAAAUUGGAGGACAAGUCAGAAAUAUUUUUAUGAGGCUAGAUUUAAGGUUUCAUAUUUUUCUGACACCCGUAGAGUGAGAAAUAAAAUCCGACAGUUAUCUGAUAAAGAUUACAGUUCGGUACAGUUUUCAGUGACCAAACGGGGUCGAAACUGAAAAGUUAAGAUAUAUUCUUACUCAGUACGUUAAACUGAGUCUACCUGUCAAAUUUGAGCUCAAUCGGACAUUCAGAAGGGUUCCGAUGGAACUUAUCAGAUUUGAGGGACUAAACUGAAAAGUGGAAUAGUUGAGGGGGCUGCUUGUGGAAAAGAGCAUUGCUCUUCUUCUCCUCCCUCAACCUGCGUACACAACCAGCCCCAAACCGACACACCCACACACGCAUGGAUAGGAGAAGAGAACCCUCUCUUUCUCUCUCUAAAUCUCUCCCAAAAUUAAGGGAAUUAGUGGAGAUUGAAGCUUGGAGGUGAAUCGUCAUCAUCUUCUUCAUCUUCUCCAUGGAUUGAAGCUAGUUUUGAGGUAAGCUUUUGCUACCCUUUAAUGGUAGAUCUCUAGAUAUGGGGUUUUGAUCUCUAGAAAUGGAUUUAGAGCUAUUCUAGCAUGCUAAAUAGACACUUGAAUACCGUAUAGCCACAUGGAAUUGUGGACAAUACUCUUUUGAGAAUUGGAAGUCGAGAUAUGCCGGGGUAGGCCAUCUCGUGGUAGAGCAAGGUCCGAAUAUGGUUAGAACACUCGCGAUUGGGUGAUGCACCAAUGAUAUUGCUUUUGAGCAAUGUUGGUAGUCGAAUCGCAAUGCCCCGAGGGGGGAAAAGCAAAUGCAAAGAAGAGUUCUUGCAUGCCGAAUGGUGAGUGAUGUUGGAACGCGUAGAGUCGUUGAGCUUCGACUUGCGUAACCACCAAGAAUGACGGAGACCCGUAAUGCACUUUCGGAGUUACGCUUAGCGAAUGUGAGUGAAUCUGGUCUCACAUCCUCCUUAAUGGACCUCUAAGUUGUUCCAAUAAGUGAAAGACCGCUCCGAGAUGCGAAAGUGCAUUGGAACCCUCGAUUACUCGAUGAGUUAAAUUGAGGUGUGAGUUGGAGAUGGAGUUGAUUGAGUUUCGAGGACGAAACUCUUAUUAAGGAGGGGAGAAUGUAAGGUACCGAACUUCUAAAAUUAUGAAGUUACGUUGUCCAUUUGGUUGGAGAGCCAUUUGAAUGGUUCCGGUAAGGUUGCGGUGUAAUGUAAUAUACCGGAUUUAAAUAUAAAAAUAAAAAUAAAUAAAAAUAGUAUGAGAUACUAUUUUUAUUGGAUUUGGAGAAGUGAAAUAUGAGUUAGAAAUGACUUGUGCUGAAAUCGGAAUGAAAACAGAAGAUUUAGAAUUUUCUGUGAGAGACGGGGCAGAUAAAUUAGCAGAAAAUGCACAGUCUCAGAAAAUUAUGAAAAUUGGAGGACAAGUCAGAAAUAUUUUUAUGAGGCUAGAUUUAAGGUUUCAUAUUUUUCUGACACCCGUAGAGUGAGAAAUAAAAUCCGACAGUUAUCUGAUAAAGAUUACAGUUCGGUACAGUUUUCAGUGACCAAACGGGGUCGAAACUGAAAAGUUAAGAUAUAUUCUUACUCAGUACGUUAAACUGAGUCUGCCUGUCAAAUUUGAGCUCAAUCGGACAUUCAGAAGGGUUCCGAUGGAACUUAUCAGAUUUGAGGGACUAAACUGAAAAGUGGAAUAGUUGAGGGGGCUGCUUGUGGAAAAGAGCAUUGCUCUUCUUCUCCUCCCUCAACCUGCGUACACAACCAGCCCCAAACCGACACACCCACACACGCAUGGAUAGGAGAAGAGAACCCUCUCUUUCUCUCUCUAAAUCUCUCCCAAAAUUAAAGGAAUUAGUGGAGAUUGAAGCUUGGAGGUGAAUCGUCAUCAUCUUCUUCAUCUUCUCCAUGGAUUGAAGCUAGUUUUGAGGUAAGGUUUUGCUACCCUUUAAUGGUAGAUCUCUAGAUAUGGGGUUUUGAUCUCUAGAAAUGGAUUUAGAGCUAUUCUAGAAUGCUAAAUAGACGAUUGAUGCUUGAAUCAUAGAUCGAUUUAAUGAUUUAUUGCCUAGUUGUAACAUAGGGCUCUAAAAUGCAAGUUUUGCUACUAGUAGGGUUUGAUCUCAUUUAACCCUCUGUAAACCUAAUUGAUAGGUCACUGAACGCGUUGGAAGCGACGGUUCGGCGUUGGAAGCGACGGUUCGGCGAUUCGUCGAGCCGGUGCAAAGUUAUUAAAGAAACGGACGUUUAGGCUUCGUUUCCGCCUGGAGGGCCGAGGCGACGUCGUAAAAUCGUGGAAACGGAUUUGAAGCACCGUAGCGAGAAACCGAAGACCUAUAAUUUCCAGAUCGCGGAUCGGAGGUCGUUUGGUGGUCGCGCACCGAUUGGGUCGAGCCGAGCGGCGUGCGCCGCGGGAGGCCGAUUGCAAGUGACGACGAGCAAUCGGAACGCGGUAAAAGGUGGGGGAGUGCCAUCCCGAAGCAAUCGGGUUUCUCCUUAUGUCUAAGUAUUUCUAUGUUGAUCAAUUAUGCAUAUUGAGCAUGAUGCAUUAUAGGGUGAUAGUUGAUGGUUGGUUCUAUAUAUAUAUAUAUUGCAUGCUUCUUGAAAGAGUAAUGUAUUUGGCUUAGUGCUUAUAUCUAGCAUGCUUGAGGUUUAUAUAUGCGAUGUGAAACCCUAUAAGAAAUGAUAGGUGUAGAUGAGAACUUAGUAAUAUAUUGGCUAUUGCAUUGGAAACUUUAAACAUGUCAUUGAUCAAGUUGCAUAUUAUGAUGUUGCAUAUAGGGUGUUUAGAAACUUGUAUCUAUAUUUGCAUGCUAGUGGUAAUGUAGCUUGGUAGAUAUAACACUUGAAUCUAGUAUGCAUGAAGUUAGUAUGUGCACCUUAACCCUAUAUGAGAUAAUAUGUAACGGAUUGGAACCUAGGCAAAUGAUAACCUAGUGUUUGUGUUGUGUGAACGAAGAACCUAGUAAAGUGUGAACUAGAGUCUUGGAAACUUGUAAAGGACGAGUGGCAUCUAGUUAAUGUUAACCUAUGACGAGUGGCAUCUAGUUGAUAGCACAUAUGAGAACCUUAGUGUAGUUGAAACACUAGAAGGUUGAGUAUUAGAUUGGCAUUGAGUUGAUGAGUUGUUAACCCUAGAUAAUAGGGUGUUCCCAGUGGAUGACACUAUCCUUAGUUGAUAGGAUGUUCCCAGUUCAUGAGAUUGGAUCGAGCUCACAUAGCCUGUCUGCACCUGUGGAGGUCGCUCCUCACAGGUAGUGCACUCCGGAGUUUGGCACGCGAGGGGGCCAGUGUAGUUGCCCUUGGACCAGUGUAGUGUCCGCAGGCGGUCUCGGGGUAGGUGAAGAGCUAGCCACCUCCCUAGGAGAUUGAUACACGUGAGACAGUGUGCGAGCCUUGUGUUCGCUGAGAGAUUGGGUGAUCAGAUGAAUGACAUCGUUGUUGAACCUAGUAGCAUGGUAGCUAACCUUUACUAUGAGUUGCAUCGACAUUGAGCAUAGUCACUUGGUAGUUGGACUAGUGGAUUUGCCUACAUACAGUGAGUGGACAUACUAUUCCUUCACCUAUGAGAUUUGAGAGGGACAGCUUGUACCUAGUAGAGCGAGAUUGAGUCGGGCAAGGAGCGGGGUAGCUCUUUGCCUAGGACCUUUGAGAUUGAGUCGGGCGAGGAGCGGGGUAGCUCUUUGCCUAGGACUUUCGAGAUUGGGUCG